RNAcentral lists this ribosomal RNA (253 nucleotides) under uncultured bacterium. RNAcentral describes it as "partial 16S ribosomal RNA". It matches the Rfam family "Bacterial small subunit ribosomal RNA", at positions 524 to 776 of the family's 1533-position model. The record is from RNAcentral.
UACGUAGGGGGCAAGCGUUGUCCGGAUUUAUUGGGCGUAAAGAGCGUGUAGGCGGCCAUGUAGGUCCGUUGUGAAAACUCGAGGCUCAACCUCGAGACGCCGAUGGAAACCAUGUGGCUAGAGUCCGGAAGAGGAGAGUGGAAUUCCUGGUGUAGCGGUGAAAUGCGCAGAUAUCAGGAGGAACACCCGUGGCUAAGGCGGCUCUCUAGUACGGUACUGACGCUGAGACGCGAAAGCGUGGGGAGCGAACAGG